RNAcentral lists this unclassified non-coding RNA (365 nucleotides) under fungal sp. RNAcentral's name for it is "partial internal transcribed spacer region". The stretch from base 1 to 46 matches the Rfam family "Eukaryotic small subunit ribosomal RNA", at positions 1786 to 1831 of the family's 1831-position model. Lineage: Eukaryota; Fungi. The record is from RNAcentral.
AAGUCGUAACAAGGUUUCCGUAGGUGAACCUGCGGAAGGAUCAUUAACACGUAUCCAACGUUAAACAACCCUGUGAACUUUCAGACGCUCUUGUAGCCCAGGAGGAACAGCAAUCCCGGUAAAUCAAUGGCAGAAAAGUUUUGAUUCGGGACCUCUGUCCAAAAGGUAUCAAGUUACAAUCGAGCUAGGAGCAGUGGCAUGGUUUCCCUAAGCAGUGCAGAAGGAUCCACUGAGUAAGGAUCACCGGCCGGCAGACAUGUCACAGGGCUUUACGCCCCUUCAUUCACCCCUUGCCUAAUCAAGCCCCGCGGAAACGCCGGGCAAAAAAAUCUGAACAACUGUUAACAAUGGAUAUCUUGGUUCUC